UUUCCGUAGGUGAACCUGCGGAAGGAUCAUUACUGAGUGAGGGCCCCUCGGGGUCCAACCUCCCACCCGUGUUUAACGAACCUUGUUGCUUCGGCGGGCCCGCCUCACGGCCGCCGGGGGGCAUCUGCCCCCGGGCCCGCGCCCGCCGAAGCCACCUGUGAACGCUGUCUGAAGUAUGCAGACUGAGACAAUUAUUAAAUUAAUUAAAACUUUCAACAACGGAUCUCUUGGUUCCG
Molecule: unclassified non-coding RNA, 236 nt
Filed under: plant metagenome
Description: partial contains small subunit ribosomal RNA, internal transcribed spacer 1, and 5.8S ribosomal RNA
Source: RNAcentral